AAUCCCGUGAACCAUCGAGUCUUUGAACGCAAGUUGCGCCCGAAGCCCUCGGGCCGAGGGCACGCCUGCCUGGGCGUCACGCAUCGCGUCGCCCCCCUCCCCCGCCACCCCCUCGCGGGUGGCGGCAGCGGCGGGGUGUGCGGAGGAUGGCCCCCCGUGCGCCUCGGCGCGCGGCCGGCCC
This 181-nucleotide ribosomal RNA is filed under the name Barleria oenotheroides. RNAcentral describes it as "5.8S ribosomal RNA". The stretch from base 1 to 79 matches the Rfam family "5.8S ribosomal RNA", at positions 78 to 154 of the family's 154-position model. The record is from RNAcentral. Lineage: Eukaryota; Viridiplantae; Streptophyta; Magnoliopsida; Lamiales; Acanthaceae.